This 650-nucleotide ribosomal RNA is filed under the name bacterium 27BL. RNAcentral's name for it is "bacterial SSU rRNA". It matches the Rfam family "Bacterial small subunit ribosomal RNA", at positions 66 to 705 of the family's 1533-position model. RNAcentral also lists the same sequence under 1 other name. The record is from RNAcentral.
ACGGCAGCACAAAGGAACUUGUUCCUUGGGUGGCGAGUGGCGGACGGGUGAGUAAUGUAUCGGAACGUGCCCAGUAGUGGGGGAUAACUACGCGAAAGCGUGGCUAAUACCGCAUAUUCUCUACGGAGGAAAGGGGGGGAUCAUUUGACCUCUCGCUAUUGGAGCGGCCGAUAUUAGAUUAGCUAGUUGGUGGGGUAACGGCCUACCAAGGCGAUGAUCUAUAGCUGGUUUGAGAGGACGACCAGCCACACUGGGACUGAGACACGGCCCAGACUCCUACGGGAGGCAGCAGUGGGGAAUUUUCGACAAUGGGGGGAACCCUGAUCGAGCCAUCCCGCGUGUGGGACGAAGGCCUUCGGGUUGUAAACCACUUUUCUCAACGAAGAAAAGCCUUAGACUAAUACUCUGAGGUGCUGACGGUAGUUGAGGAAUAAGCACCGGCUAACUAUGUGCCAGCAGCCGCGGUAAUACAUAGGGUGCAAGCGUUAAUCGGAAUUACUGGGCGUAAAGGGUGCGCAGGCGGCUUGGAAAGAACGGUGUGAAAUCCCGGGGCUCAACCCCGGAACUGCACUAUUAACUAUCAAGCUAGAGUAUGUCAGAGGGGGGUGGAAUUCCGCGUGUAGCAGUGAAAUGCGUAGAUAUGCGGAGGA